RNAcentral lists this ribosomal RNA (479 nucleotides) under uncultured bacterium. RNAcentral describes it as "partial 16S ribosomal RNA". It matches the Rfam family "Bacterial small subunit ribosomal RNA", at positions 28 to 507 of the family's 1533-position model. The record is from RNAcentral.
GACGAACGCUGGCGGCGUGCUUAACACAUGCAAGUCGAACGAAGCUUGAUUACGGAUUCUUCGGAUGAAGUAUGAUAUGACUGAGUGGCGGACGGGUGAGUAACGCGUGAGUAACCUGCCCUUCAGAGGGGGAUAGCGUUUGGAAACGAACGGUAAUACCGCAUAAUGUAUUUUGACCGCAUGAUCGAAAUACCAAAGAUUUAUCGCUGAAGGAUGGACUCGCGUCUGAUUAGGUAGUUGGUGGGGUAACGGCCUACCAAGCCGACGAUCAGUAGCCGGACUGAGAGGUUGAGCGGCCACAUUGGGACUGAGACACGGCCCAGACUCCUACGGGAGGCAGCAGUGGGGAAUAUUGCACAAUGGGCGCAAGCCUGAUGCAGCAACGCCGCGUGAAGGAAGACGGUUUUCGGAGUGUAAAAUUCUGUUCUUAGUGAAGAAUAAUGACGGUAGCUAAGGAGCAAGCCACGGCUAACUACGUG